RNAcentral lists this ribosomal RNA (396 nucleotides) under uncultured bacterium. RNAcentral's name for it is "partial 16S ribosomal RNA". It matches the Rfam family "Bacterial small subunit ribosomal RNA", at positions 523 to 918 of the family's 1533-position model. The record is from RNAcentral.
AUACGUAGGGAGCGAGCGUUGUCCGGAAUUACUGGGUGUAAAGGGUGCGUAGGCGGGACGGCAAGUCAGAUGUGAAAUACCGGGGCUCAACCCCGGGGCUGCAUUUGAAACUGUCGUUCUUGAGUGAGGUAGAGGUAAGCGGAAUUCCUAGUGUAGCGGUGAAAUGCGUAGAUAUUAGGAGGAACAUCGGUGGCGAAGGCGGCUUACUGGGCCUUUACUGACGCUGAGGCACGAAAGCGUGGGGAGCAAACAGGAUUAGAUACCCUGGUAGUCCACGCUGUAAACGAUGAUGACUAGGUGUGGGGGGACUGAACCCUUCCGUGCCGCAGUUAACACAAUAAGUAUUCCACCUGGGGAGUACGAUCGCAAGGUUGAAACUCAAAGGAAUUGACGGGG